UACGUAGGGACCGAGCGUUGUCCGGAUUCAUUGGGCGUAAAGAGCUCGUAGGCGGCUGUUCAAGUCGAACGUGAAAACUCGGAGCUCAACUCCGAGCCUGCGUUCGAUACUGGACGGCUAGAGUCUGGUAGGGGGAUCUGGAAUUCCUGGUGUAGCGGUGGAAUGCGCAGAUAUCAGGAGGAAUACCGAUGGCGAAGGCAGGUCUCUGGGCUAUAACUGACGCUCAUGCACGAAAGCGUGGGGAGCAAACAGG
Molecule: ribosomal RNA, 253 nt
Filed under: uncultured bacterium
Lineage: Bacteria
Description: partial 16S ribosomal RNA
Rfam family: Bacterial small subunit ribosomal RNA
Source: RNAcentral